RNAcentral lists this transfer RNA (90 nucleotides) under bacterium. RNAcentral describes it as "tRNA-Ser". It matches the Rfam family "tRNA". Rfam says of the family: Transfer RNA (tRNA) molecules are approximately 80 nucleotides in length. Their secondary structure includes four short double-helical elements and three loops (D, anti-codon, and T loops). Further hydrogen bonds mediate the characteristic L-shaped molecular structure. tRNAs have two regions of fundamental functional importance: the anti-codon, which is responsible for specific mRNA codon recognition, and the 3' end, to which the tRNAs corresponding amino acid is attached (by aminoacyl-tRNA synthetases). tRNAs cope with the degeneracy of the genetic code in two manners: having more than one tRNA (with a specific anti-codon) for a particular amino acid; and 'wobble' base-pairing, i.e. permitting non-standard base-pairing at the 3rd anti-codon position. The record is from RNAcentral. RNAcentral also lists the same sequence under 3 other names.
GGAGAGGUGUCCGAGUUCGGCUUAAGGAGCACGCCUGGAACGCGUGUGUGCCGAAAGGUACCGUGGGUUCGAAUCCCACCCUCUCCGCCA